RNAcentral lists this ribosomal RNA (301 nucleotides) under uncultured bacterium. RNAcentral describes it as "partial 16S ribosomal RNA". It matches the Rfam family "Bacterial small subunit ribosomal RNA", at positions 509 to 807 of the family's 1533-position model. The record is from RNAcentral.
CAGCCGCCGCGGGAAUACGUAGGGUCCGAGCGUUGUCCGGAAUUAUUGGGCGUAAAGGGCUCGUAGGCGGUUUGUUGCGUCGGGAGUGAAAACCAGGUGCUUAACACCUGGCCUGCUUUCGAUACGGGCAGACUAGAGGCAUUCAGGGGAGAACGGAAUUCCUGGUGUAGCGGUGAAAUGCGCAGAUAUCAGGAGGAACACCGGUGGCGAAGGCGGUUCUCUGGGAAUGUUCUGACGCUGAGGAGCGAAAGUGUGGGGAGCGAACAGGAUUAGAUACCCGGGUAGUCCCUGUCUCUUAUAC